Molecule: ribosomal RNA, 443 nt
Filed under: uncultured bacterium
Lineage: Bacteria
Description: bacterial SSU rRNA
Rfam family: Bacterial small subunit ribosomal RNA
Source: RNAcentral
UUCCUACGGGCGGCUGCAGUCGGGAAUUUUGGGCAAUGGGCGAAAGCCUGACCCAGCAACGCCGCGUGAAGGAUGAAGUAUUUCGGUAUGUAAACUUCGAAAGAAUAGGAAGAAUAAAUGACGGUACUAUUUAUAAGCUCCGGCUAACUACGUGCCAGCAGCCGCGGUAAUACGUAGGGAGCGAGCGUUGUUCGGAUUUACUGGGCGUAAAGGGCGCGUAGGCGGCGCGGUAAGUCACUUGUGAAAUCUCUGAGCUUAACUCAGAACGGCCAAGUGAUACUGCAGUGCUAGAGUGCAGAAAGGGGAAUCGGAAUUCUUGGUGUAGCGGUGAAAUGCGUAGAUAUCAAGAGGAACACCUGAGGCGAAGGCGGGUUGCUAGGCUGACACUGACGCUGAGGCGCGAAAGCCAGGGGAGCAAACGGGAUUAGAUACCCUAGUAGUCA